This 73-nucleotide transfer RNA is filed under the name Ceramaster japonicus. Its description in RNAcentral is "tRNA-Ile". It matches the Rfam family "tRNA". Rfam says of the family: Transfer RNA (tRNA) molecules are approximately 80 nucleotides in length. Lineage: Eukaryota; Metazoa; Echinodermata; Asteroidea; Valvatida; Goniasteridae. The record is from RNAcentral.
GGGUUUGUUCCUUGGGGUAAAGGACAUCUAGCUGAUAAUUAGAUUGUUGAAGGUUAGAUUCCUUCCAAGCUCU